UGGAGCUGAAAUCAGUCGAAGAUACCAGCUGGCUGCAACUGUUUAUUAAAAACACAGCACUGUGCAAACACGAAAGUGGACGUAUACGGUGUGACGCCUGCCCGGUGCCGGAAGGUUAAUUGAUGGGGUUAUCCGUAAGGAGAAGCUCUUGAUCGAAGCCCCGGUAAACGGCGGCCGUAACUAUAACGGUCCUAAGGUAGCGAAAUUCCUUGUCGGGUAAGUUCCGACCUGCACGAAUGGCGUAAUGAUGGCCAGGCUGUCUCCACCCGAGACUCAGUGAAAUUGAACUCGCUGUGAAGAUGCAGUGUACCCGCGGCAAGACGGAAAGACCCCGUGAACCUUUACUAUAGCUUGACACUGAACACUGGUCCUUGAUGUGUAGGAUAGGUGGGAGGCUUUGAAGUGUGGACGCCAGUCUGCAUGGAGCCAUCCUUGAAAUACCACCCUUUAAUGGCUGGUGUUCUAACGUGGACCCGUGAUCCGGGUUGCGGACAGUGUCUGGUGGGUAGUUUGACUGGGGCGGUCUCCUCCUAAAGAGUAACGGAGGAGCACGAAGGUUAGCUAAUCCUGGUCGGACAUCAGGAGGUUAGUGCAAAGGCAUAAGCUAGCUUGACUGCGAGAGUGACGGCUCGAGCAGGUGCGAAAGCAGGUCUUAGUGAUCCGGUGGUUCUGAAUGGAAGGGCCAUCGCUCAACGGAUAAAAGGUACUCCGGGGAUAACAGGCUGAUACCGCCCAAGAGUUCAUAUCGACGGCGGUGUUUGGCACCUCGAUGUCGGCUCAUCACAUCCUGGGGCUGAAGUAGGUCCCAAGGGUAUGGCUGUUCGCCAUUUAAAGUGGUACGCGAGCUGGGUUUAGAACGUCGUGAGACAGUUCGGUCCCUAUCUGCCGUGGGCGCUGGAGAAUUGAGGGGGGCUGCUCCUAGUACGAGAGGACCGGAGUGGACGCAUCACUGGUGUUCGGGUUGUCAUGCCAAUGGCAUUGCCCGGUAGCUAAAUGCGGAAGAGAUAAGUGCUGAAAGCAUCUAAGCACGAAACUUGCCCCGAGAUGAGUUCUCCCUGAGACUAUAAGUCUCCUGAAGGAACGUUAAAGACUACGACGUUGAUAGGUCGGGUGUGUAAGUGUAGCGAUACAUUGAGCUAACCGAUACUAAUGAACCGUGAGGCUUAACCUU
This 1171-nucleotide ribosomal RNA is filed under the name Citrobacter freundii. Its description in RNAcentral is "bacterial LSU rRNA". It matches the Rfam family "Bacterial large subunit ribosomal RNA", at positions 1762 to 2925 of the family's 2925-position model. Lineage: Bacteria; Pseudomonadati; Pseudomonadota; Gammaproteobacteria; Enterobacterales; Enterobacteriaceae. The record is from RNAcentral.